RNAcentral lists this long non-coding RNA (2158 nucleotides) under Triticum aestivum (bread wheat). RNAcentral's name for it is "long non-coding RNA (TAES_LNC022503)". Lineage: Eukaryota; Viridiplantae; Streptophyta; Magnoliopsida; Poales; Poaceae. The record is from RNAcentral.
CCAAACCAAUUCAUUCAUAGAGAUAGGGCGGAUGAGCAAACCGGAAUCUAAGUUCCAGCAACCACUCAGUUCCAAUUCCAAAGGGUAUUAUAAUAGAGAUAGAUAGAUAGAUAACAAAGUACUAGCAGCACCUCGAGCAUUCGGUGUAAAAAACACACAAAUCUGGAUCAAACUUGUUUCACCCAACAGAUAUCUUGAUGCCUAUGUAUGUGUAUCUCAAACACCCAGAAGCACUAGAUACCAAGUAUCGCAGGUAGGCAACCACGCACAGCUGCUUACUUGCCACCACCGAUUUCCUUCACAGCGCAGAUCUGUUCUUCACCCAUGGCGGACAUCACAGACAGGAUCAGGUCCUUGCCAUCAGCAAAUCCAGUCUUGAUCUGCAUUUCACAGAGCAAAGAAACAUCAAGAGAGUGACGGGGAGAUAUGAUGUGCAGCAUAACAAGUUUCAACAGCUAGAGCACAGACCUGGCCAAGCAGAACAUCAUCAGUGGGAAGCUUCAGGUCAUCCUUAGUGUUGCCACUCUCAGUUAGAAGGCUGACCUGUAGAAAGCCAUCACAAAGUUAGAAAUAGGAGUACGCUUUGCACAUAAAUGGAAAUGGAAGGACAUUGAAAAUGAAACAUACAUAUCCAUCAUCAGUUAUGUCAAUCAGCUGAUAAUCUUGGCGGUCAACAUGGGGGACCUGAACAAAUAACACAACAGAGAAGGCUAAAUAAGAUCUACUGAACGAAAAGAAACUAACAAAAUGAAGCAUCUCGGUGUAGCUUACGUCACAGUUGUGGGAUGAAGGAACGAUAUCCUCAAGCUUCUUUCCAUUAAAGAUGUCAAUGGCAACAAAGUGACACUUUGCGUGACCAUGCUUCCCAGUCUUGGAGGUGGAGACCUCAACAACCUAGCUCAAAGAUUAAACCAAAAUGAUUCUUCAGAACAUGCUGGACCACAAAGCAAUUUCUGGUGGCAGGCAGGAAUUAUUGAGUUUGGAGCAGCAAUUAGACAAUCAGAUGCGCAUAGUAAAACAAAGCAACAACAACCCAACAGGAAACACUCGCAUAAUCAAAUGAAACAAUAUCGGCACAGCUUUAAGGGAGUACCUAGAACUCAUCUAGAUGAGAUAUAAUUUGGUCUCAUUCACUUUGAAAACAAGAACAAAUACAACCCACGUCAGCACACACGCAUCUUAUAGCAUCACAUCCAAUGGCUAUAAAAGGUGAAUGAGACCAAAUUAUAUCUCAUCUAGAUGAGUUCUAGCAAAACUGCAGCUUUAAACUGAUACAAGAACAACUACUACUGAGUGGUAGUAGCUACAUAACCAGAAAUAGUUAUAGUACUUAAAUUAGCAUCUGAAACUGAAUAAAUAGUAUGCAUCAGCAAACUAUGAAAACUACCGACUAUGCCGAUUACUAAUUAAACUGUUCGUAAAUUCCCUGUAAAACAGAUAUAGACUUUAAUUAGCACCUUGCCAAAUCUAGCAGCGUUAAGAUUUACUGAAACAGGAUUCCUAAAAUUAAUUCAGGAGUGAGGACACAGUCGGAGCUAAUGAAAAGAUCCUAAGGCAUAGCGGUGGAUAUAGGAAAUCAAGGUAAAUUUGUAGCACCAACAGAUAUCAUGGACCCGUGUAUAUCCAUCCGCAUCUACAGCAAAGAAUGGUACUUGGACUUGUAGAUCUAACAACUUGCAAAUCUGCACCCGACUAGCACAGAUCACCGCAGCAGAUUCCCAUACGCAUCCAUCAACCAACCAGACAUAAGAGCUUUCCUAUGGUAAGAAUAGAUCGGAAAAGGCACAGACCUUGCAGGGACGGGCCUUGAUGACGAUGUGUCCACCCUUGCGGAUGGCGCCGGCCUGCUGAGGGUAGGUCUUGGAGGCGCCGGAGUCGGCCUUGGACUCGAAGUGGUGCUCAUCGGUGUCCGACAUCUCCGACGAUCCUCCUGGGUCCUGGAACAAGGAAGCAGCAACGAGGAGGAGGUCAACGAAAACAGGAGGAUGAGAAGGGCAAACUCGAAAUCGACUGGAUUUUCCGGCGGAUCUGGAUUAGCAAGGGGGGCGCUGCUCACCGGGGGCAAGUGGGGUGGUGGAGACGAGAUGCAGCGGCAGCGAGGGGCGGAUGGAUGGAUCCGGAGGCUAGGGUUCUUGGUACGCCUCACCUCCCAGCUUUU